AAAAGUACAAAGUAACAUAUAUAAGAAAUAACAGACAAAAAAUUAUCUAUAAACAACAUAUUCAAAUACAACUUGAAUAAUACCUCAUAGAUAUAUAUAUAUAUAUAAAUAACAAUAUUUUACAGUCAUUAUAAAUGGACGACAUGAAAAGUAUCACAGAUACCUGACUGAUUAAUUGCUGAUUAAAAAAACAAUUAACCAUAUUAAAUAAUACAUAUUAUAUUGUGCACAUUUAAUAACAUAUAGAUACCAUACACUUGACUGUCUUGAGUAUUUAAAAUAAAACACACAACUAUGCCGUCUCAUUUACUAUAGAAUUGGUAUUCAAUAUUUCACAUACUAAGGUAAAAAGUCUAACAGAUAUCAGUUUUGUGUAGAUUCUACUGAAAGGUCCCAGUUUUAAACAUGUUCAUACAUUAUGAAAAUUAGCGAUGCAAUGCACCAUAUUGCCAAAACAAAAAAUCUUGUUUAAUUGUUUUAAUAAGAUUCUUAUUUGUAAAUAUUUACAAAAUAAAUUUUAUGGAUUAAAUAAACUUCAGUGUUCAAUUCUGUUUAAACUAAUUCAGAUAAAACAAGAUAUAUGGACCAUUAUUAUUCAGAUCAAGUUUUCAACAUCUAUAUUGAGCUCAC
RNAcentral lists this long non-coding RNA (630 nucleotides) under Mytilus galloprovincialis (Mediterranean mussel). The record is from RNAcentral. Lineage: Eukaryota; Metazoa; Mollusca; Bivalvia; Mytilida; Mytilidae.